RNAcentral lists this small RNA (475 nucleotides) under Arabidopsis thaliana (thale cress). RNAcentral's name for it is "ATSL094960". Lineage: Eukaryota; Viridiplantae; Streptophyta; Magnoliopsida; Brassicales; Brassicaceae. The record is from RNAcentral.
UAUUUUUUUUACUGUUGAAUUUGAAUUAAAAAAUAUUAAAUAUUUUAAUAAUUAUCACAAUAAAUCUAUUUACUACCGUUCUUGUUCCAGUAGAACCGCUUAAUCCGCUUGAUAAAGCAUAUAGAUGAAGAUUGUGAUAAGGCAUAUGGAUGAACAAUAACAGCAAUUCAACCACUUAUAGAAAAACAUAAAAAAUAACUUUUUGUAACCUCGUUUCUUCCACCGUAAACCUGUUGGUUUUCAUCUCAAGAAGCAGCAGACCUCACACAACUGUGAUCAUCAUCAAUGUUCUGCAAAAGCAGAAGAGGGUAAAUGCGGAAGUACCUAUUUUUUAGAGAAAGUGAAAACCGAAUGAGAAAGAAAGAAACUGGGUAGAAAGAAACUGAGGGUUAUAAGUUAAUUUUCUUAUAAAUUUAUCAUGUAAUAUUAUGUGUUAGGAUAUCUCCAACGCUAAUCACCAUUAUGGUGUUUAAAU